UGAACGCUGGCGGAAUGCUUUACACAUGCAAGUCGAGCGGCAGCGCGGGGGCAACCCUGGCGGCGAGCGGCGAACGGGUGAGUAAUACAUCGGAACGUGUCCUGGAGUGGGGGAUAGCUCGGCGAAAGCCGGAUUAAUACCGCAUAAGCUCUGAGGAGGAAAGCGGGGGAUUCGCAAGGACCUCGCGCUGUUGGAGCGGCCGAUGUCGGAUUAGCUAGUUGGUGGGGUAAAGGCCCACCAAGGCGACGAUCCGUAGCUGGUCUGAGAGGAUGAUCAGCCACACUGGAACUGAGACACGGUCCAGACUCCUACGGGAGGCAGCAGUGGGGAAUUUUGGACAAUGGGGGCAACCCUGAUCCAGCCAUUCCGCGUGAGUGAAGAAGGCCUUCGGGUUGUAAAGCUCUUUCGGACGGAACGAAAUGGUUACGGCUAACACCUGUGACUGAUGACGGUACCGUAAGAAGAAGCACCGGCUAACUACGUGCCAGCAGCCGCGGUAAUACGUAGGGUGCGAGCGUUAAUCGGAAUUACUGGGCGUAAAGCGUGCGCAGGCGGUGAUGUAAGACAGAUGUGAAAUCCCCGGGCUCAACCUGGGACCUGCAUUUGUGACUGCAUCGCUAGAGUACGGUAGAGGGGGAUGGAAUUCCGCGUGUAGCAGUGAAAUGCGUAGAUAUGCGGAGGAACACCGAUGGCGAAGGCAAUCCCCUGGACCUGUACUGACGCUCAUGCACGAAAGCGUGGGGAGCAAA
This 749-nucleotide ribosomal RNA is filed under the name uncultured soil bacterium. RNAcentral's name for it is "bacterial SSU rRNA". It matches the Rfam family "Bacterial small subunit ribosomal RNA", at positions 30 to 772 of the family's 1533-position model. The record is from RNAcentral.